Molecule: long non-coding RNA, 594 nt
Organism: Larimichthys crocea (large yellow croaker)
Lineage: Eukaryota; Metazoa; Chordata; Actinopteri; Sciaenidae
Exons: 4
Source: RefSeq, a predicted model, not a curated record
GGAGAGUCUGGAAAGUUUUGGAGUGUGUGCCGAGUGCCAAGGCUACAGGUGAUGUCAAGAAGGGAGCGUUCACUCUGCUGCUACUACAGAGGCACAGCUGACCUGAGGACAGGCUGCUCCACUUCGACUGUUUGCUGAGUAAACCUCCUCCACCCAGCUAAUCACCUCCAACACACACUCACCUCCUGCUGCCGGAGACAGCUGAGGUUCGCGAAGCUUCAGCUCGAGCUGCAUUCACAACAAACAGCUUCAGCUUCACUGAAAUGUUGUGUUCUCAGAAAACACUGACUGCACAUCCACAGAGGGAGGAGUCACUUCAGUCCAAAUCAGGCGAUCAGCUCAGAGCCGUGUGGGCCUUCUCCAGCAGGGCGCUCCAGAACUCUCCUCCCUCGGCCGAGUGGACGAACAGCAGCUUCCCGUCUCUGGUGGGCAGCCGGUCAUCCACAACCACGUCCACCCACUCCCCAUACUGCCACAGCUACAGAGACGUUAACAUGUCAUGUGAUCUGAACAUGGUGGGCGGGGCUGUCCACAAAGUUUUGGCCAUCAGAUUUUUAUUUACGGUUUGAAGAAUUUCCAGAUUUAAUGACAGAC